This is a long non-coding RNA of Micropterus dolomieu (smallmouth bass), 171 nucleotides long. RefSeq lists it as uncharacterized. The transcript has 3 exons. The record is from RefSeq and is a predicted model, not a curated record. Lineage: Eukaryota; Metazoa; Chordata; Actinopteri; Centrarchiformes; Centrarchidae.
CAAUUCAUGCUGGCACCAUCAAAGAGAACUACGGCAGCAGAUGAGAUAAUACUGUACUUACCAAAGUGAUUGCUGAGAUUUGGGGACAUGGCAACAUCACUACAAUGACAUCCAGAAAGGUGUAAAUCCGUAUUGGCUCUGGACCUGACAGGAUACAGAGGGAAUGGCAAA